This 484-nucleotide ribosomal RNA is filed under the name uncultured bacterium. Its description in RNAcentral is "partial 16S ribosomal RNA". It matches the Rfam family "Bacterial small subunit ribosomal RNA", at positions 30 to 507 of the family's 1533-position model. The record is from RNAcentral.
AUUGAACGCUGGCGGCAGGCCUAACACAUGCAAGUCGAGCGGAUGAAGGGAGCUUGCUCCUGGAUUCAGCGGCGGACGGGUGAGUAAUGCCUAGGAAUCUGCCUGGUAGUGGGGGAUAACGUCCGGAAACGGGCGCUAAUACCGCAUACGUCCUGAGGGUGAAAGUGGGGGAUCUUCGGACCUCACGCUAUCUUAUGAGCCUAGGUCGGAUUAGCUAGUUGGUGGGGUAAAGGCCUACCAAGGCGACGAUCCGUAACUGGUCUGAGAGGAUGAUCAGUCACACUGGAACUGAGACACGGUCCAGACUCCUACGGGAGGCAGCAGUGGGGAAUAUUGGACAAUGGGCGAAAGCCUGAUCCAGCAAUGCCGCGUGUGUGAAGAAGGUCUUCGGAUUGUAAAGCACUUUAAGUUGGGAGGAAGGGCAGUAAGUUAAUACCUUGCUGUUUUGACGUUACCAACAGAAUAAGCACCGGCUAACUUCGUG